RNAcentral lists this transfer RNA (94 nucleotides) under Advenella incenata. RNAcentral describes it as "tRNA-Ser". It matches the Rfam family "tRNA". Rfam says of the family: Transfer RNA (tRNA) molecules are approximately 80 nucleotides in length. Their secondary structure includes four short double-helical elements and three loops (D, anti-codon, and T loops). Further hydrogen bonds mediate the characteristic L-shaped molecular structure. tRNAs have two regions of fundamental functional importance: the anti-codon, which is responsible for specific mRNA codon recognition, and the 3' end, to which the tRNAs corresponding amino acid is attached (by aminoacyl-tRNA synthetases). tRNAs cope with the degeneracy of the genetic code in two manners: having more than one tRNA (with a specific anti-codon) for a particular amino acid; and 'wobble' base-pairing, i.e. permitting non-standard base-pairing at the 3rd anti-codon position. The record is from RNAcentral. RNAcentral also lists the same sequence under 3 other names. Lineage: Bacteria; Pseudomonadati; Pseudomonadota; Betaproteobacteria; Burkholderiales; Alcaligenaceae.
GGAGACGUGGCCGAGAGGCUGAAGGCACUUCCCUGCUAAGGAAGCAUGUGGGCUAAAACCUGCAUCGAGGGUUCGAAUCCCUCCGUCUCCGCCA